RNAcentral lists this ribosomal RNA (486 nucleotides) under uncultured bacterium. Its description in RNAcentral is "bacterial SSU rRNA". It matches the Rfam family "Bacterial small subunit ribosomal RNA", at positions 58 to 520 of the family's 1533-position model. The record is from RNAcentral.
CAAGUCGAACGAGAAAGGGUCCUUCGGGGCCUGAGUAAAGUGGCGCACGGGUGAGUAACACGUGGAUAAUCUGCCCUACAGUUGGGAAUAACCCACCGAAAGGUGUGCUAAUACCGAAUGAUGCUGAUUGGCCUUGGUCAAUCAGCCAAAGAGAGCCUCUUCUUGAAAGCCCUCGCUGUUGGAUGAGUCCGCGUACCAUUAGCUUGUUGGUAGGGUAAUGGCCUACCAAGGCUGUGAUGGUUAGCUGGUCUGAGAGGAUGAUCAGCCACACUGGAACUGAGACACGGUCCAGACUCCUACGGGAGGCAGCAGUGAGGAAUCUUGCGCAAUGGGGGAAACCCUGACGCAGCAACGCCGCGUGAGUGAGGAAGGUCUUCGGAUCGUAAAGCUCUGUCAGUUGGAAAGAAACGCCUAUGUGUUAAUACCAUGUAGGUUUGACGGUACCAACAGAGGAAGCACCGGCUAACUCCGUGCCAGCAGCCGCGG